Molecule: ribosomal RNA, 1213 nt
Filed under: Corallina officinalis
Lineage: Eukaryota; Rhodophyta; Florideophyceae; Corallinales; Corallinaceae
Description: eukaryotic LSU rRNA
Rfam family: 5.8S ribosomal RNA (bases 625-777)
Source: RNAcentral
CAUUCAUGUUUUUAAGUUUGCGAAGGGACCGCUGGAGGUAUCGAUNANNCAAUUUAUUGUUUGUGACUUCCUUUAGUUGUUUCUGAUCGACUUAUAUUUUUUGCGAUAACUUCCUUCUCUUCGUGAGAUUGUAAUUUUUUUGUACUUUGCAUACUCUAUGCUUGAACUUUCUUCUCGUAGGUUGGUGAUGGUUCGACAUUUAGUAAGGGUGUUUUUCACUUCUGAACUCGUGUCUUACUUGAGGUGACCUUUAAAGUGAGAUGUUUUUUUCUUCGUUAUUCCUUCCAGUUUGCUUUCCUGUAGCUUCAUCCCAUUGAAUUGGGUUUUUUGGAAACGCUUUCGACCUACUGCGGUAGACUCGAUUCACGCCCAAUUGUAAAAGACUUUGCUUCUUUUGUGUACUAACCCCUAGGAAUAGGGGAUAAAACUGGGCAAUUGAUUUCCAUGUAAAUCCUCGGGUACAUACUCCCCUCAGAGGUCUUGGCAGCUUAAAGUGCGAGUUUGAUAACGAUGAUUUAACAUGUACACUCGGUUUGAUUGUGAUGGCGAUGAGAUAUGCUUGUAAUGCUUGUACAAUUCUAUAUAAUACUUAACACACUAGAGAACAAACAAUUUUUGACAUACAACCCGUGGCGGGGGAUGUCUCGGCUUCCACAUCGAUGAAGAACGUAGCAAAAUGCGAUAUGUAAUGCGAUUUGCAGAACUCGUGAGUCAUCGAAUUUUUGAACGCAAGUUGCGCUCGCGGGAAAUCCUGCGAGCACGUCUGUUUGAGUGUCCGUACAAAAACUAAAACACUUGUUUUUUAUUUUUCCUUUUGUCGACUUUGUUGCUUGCAAUGAUUUUGACAGUGUUGAGUGUUUCCGUUCACAGUGCAUUUUACAUGUACAGGAUGGUCACUUUAAGUUGAGGGGUACUGUUCCUCGUGAACUUUACCAUUGGCAUGGUUUUUUAAACCUUACUACACCGUUCCCCUUCUACUUUUUAAGUAGUUAGGAGAUGCUCACUUGCCUAUGACUUCGUUUUUCACUUGGAAUUUUUGUCUAGGUACUGAUGUUUUCCUUCGGCUGAGGUGCGAUUGUUGUGAAGUGAUUACUUGAAAUGCAACUAUUCAACAACCUCUGAGGGACGAUAGCUUUACUGUUUGAACUCAAUUUGGACUUGUGAUUUAAGUUGUCGCGCUUGUGUGAUACUAAGACGCGUAGCAAAACAGUGC